This 4212-nucleotide long non-coding RNA is filed under the name Vigna radiata. RNAcentral describes it as "long non-coding RNA (VRAD_LNC003355)". The record is from RNAcentral. Lineage: Eukaryota; Viridiplantae; Streptophyta; Magnoliopsida; Fabales; Fabaceae.
AAGGUGAAAAAAAGUCAUUGUUAAGUACAAAUGAAUAAGAUAAGUAGUCAUGCAGAAGAGGCAAUGAGAAGAUGCUUAGAGUUGAUUUGUACUGCAGUGAAUCAGUGGUGUCCUAGUCAUAAAUUUCAGAAAGCUCUCUGGCAAUGCCUAAUAAAUUAUAUCUACCCUACGCCUAAUAAUCUAUGUCAUCCAGCCAAAUACAUCACACAUAUAAAUGAGUUCGGAUCUUAUUACCUUUCCAAAUGAGAGAACAAGCUAAUAAAGAGUCACAAUUCAGAAAAGUAACUUCUCCUUCUUAACCUGAAACUGAAAAAUCAAACAUGUGGUACAUAUCAUUUACCUUUAAGAAAUCAAGCAUGAGUGAAUUAUACAUGCAUUGAAAAUAAUUGAAAAUAAAUCUUUUUUUUCAAUUAUAUAUGCAAUAACAGGUGACUUAAGUGAGAUUAUAAUAUAUAAAAUGAUUCCAAAACUGAGGCACCUGACAUGAAACAACUCUCAGCAAAACUUUUUUUUCUUCUUUUCCAAUCGUGGUUGGUGGAAACAUAUACUUUAGUAAAGUUCUAUGACCAGUAGUAAAUGUCAAACUUUGCUAUAUGAUGACAGCUCCGAUAUCUUUUCUCCAGACUAAACUUAUAGAUUAUAAAAACGGGGUUAUAUAUGCAUAAGUUUUAGGUAUAUCUUACAAUAGCUACUCAAUAAAUCCUGCUGAUAAUAUUUUGUAAUUGAUUAGCAGUAUAAAAGUUUUUACUGUAGCAGCACAGUGUACAAGAUGCAUAGCAGUUAUAUAUUUACUUCUUCUUUUUUAUUGAAAGAAACUAUGGGUAUAAUCAUCCAACACUAGUAAUAUCUCANCCUAUGUACAACCAAGCAUAAAUGCAAAAAAAUAAAAAGUUUAUAUAUGCUACAAUAAUUUAACUAGCUAUUUGUAACUAUAUCUAUAUGUCAAUUCCAUAUUGGUAUACAAACUUAAUAAACCUCUUAGCUUAUUCUUGAUUUAAAAUCACAUACACUAAAAAAAGUCACCGAAUAAGCCUCUUAGCUUUCCCUCUUUCCUAAUCCCAACCAUUGCACUAUUUAACAUUGUUUAUCUGUUUGUAAUGAUUUUACAGUAAUUCAUGACUGAUGACAAUCUUUAUUAAAAUUCCAGUACUCUACCAACCUUCUUCCUUUUGAGCCCUUUGGCCUUUGUUUGAAGUUGCCUUUUAGAUCAGCUGUCUUUAAGUGAAGAAUGAUUGGCCAUAGGCAAAAAUUACAUACCAUUGACUUAUAUUUACUUAUACUUUAACAUUGUAAGUAUGUCAUACUGAAUAUACGAUGGACAAAAUAUGUUCAGCACUAAAUAUAUCUGAGAUGAACCACAAGGANCUUCUANAAAACUAAGAGGGGACAGAAAAAGUGCAGAAACCAGAAACCUGCGGCAGCAAAACCAGAAAUUCUAUUCCACUAAUUGGAGUAUUAUGUUGCCACAUGGACUCACUGAAAGGCACAAUGGAUUAUUGCUUGCUUCGGUUAAGUAAAUAGUAGUCAGCCACAUCUUGCUGCUUGCCGCGAGGUGAUGGUUAAUUUUCUUUUAUUUUCUAACUAAACUCAGUGUCUUCUGAUCAUGUUGGAAAGGUAUAAGUCUCAUGAGGAUUGGUCAAUAUAGUAAUUAAUAUAGCUAAGAUGGAUGAUUCAUUUUCUCUCUUUUUUCAAAAAGCAAAAUAAUCAGGUUUCUUUCUGAAACUUCACUAACACGUAUCUUUUUAUCUUUCUCCACGCCUACAUAUAUCUUAAUAACGUAAAAAAUUCUCUUUCCUUCUCAAUCUCUUCGUAUCCUUCCUAUAUUUUUUUUAAACUGUCAUUAACCAUUACAUAUAAGGAGGAAUUGCAAAACCUUAUCAAAAUUCCCUUUCUGUGAAAAUAAUGGUUUCAAGUUUUGAAAAAAUAUGAAGUAAAAAGUGCGAAACAGGAAUUCCAUGGUGGCUAAAACAGGAAUAAUUUCUCUACCUUGAAUUCGAUGGUGGCUUAUACUAGGCAUAAUUUCUCGCUUUAAAACAGGAAUCUUCUUUUUCUUUAAGAAAAUGACUUCAUGUUCCCUUUAUCUUUUUCUCUUUUCCUCGAAAAAAGAGUUACACACAAGACACAGGCUCAAUUAGUGAAUCCAAGAUGAAACACACUAAACAACAGAAGAGAUUGAAAACUCACAAGUUCUACAGCAACAGAGACAACAAAUUCUCCAAAAUGACCAGCAACAAGCACCAAAACCGCAAGAUCCUCAACCGGAGUCAGAGUCACGUCCACAACCAACUAUAGAACAACAGGAACAAUCACUACAACAAGCCAACUAUAACAAGAGGAAGACCAUGGAACAGGGGCUUUCACCUGAGACUGACAGAACAGUAACAAAAGGAAGACCACGCAACCACCGCUGCAGCUCCGUCUACCAAUGGUUCCGCGACUACGAUUCUGAAGGAUAGUCAGUACGAGGAAGAGACGGUGAGUUUAGGGUUCAGGAAGAAAGCGAGAAAGAAAUAAGGGUGUAGUGUGCGAGGAAGAAAGCGAGAAAGGAAUGAAAGGGAUUUUAGGGUUCAAGUGUGAUUUUGAGAAGGAGAUCAGUUUCGGGAUCCAGAAAAAUGAGACAGAAACGUAAAAAAUUAGACAUUCUUUGAAGAAUCAUUAAAACUCCUUUGAAAUAGAGGGGGUUAUAAACCUCCUUUAAAAAUCAUUAAAACUCCCGUUAUCAUUAACACCUUUAUGAUUUAAAUUAAACAUUAUGAAAUAUAUUAAUUUGAGGGGGUUUUUCAUAACCUCCUCUAAAUAACCCCCUCUAAAUAAGUUUUUUUUUUUUGUAAUGACUUUAUUGGUCUUUUAAGUUGCCACGUGUAUAAAAUAUUAACAACUCAUUCACUAAUAGCUGACCCGGGCACUGUGCCGUUAAAAUUUUUAACACCGUAAGCAAAAAGGACUAACGUGCGCUGUUUUUGCAAAAAGUAAGAUUUUAGUGAACUUUUUAAAAAAGGGAAGACGACUUUGAAUAGACCCUACAAAAAGAGGAACCAAAAUGGGAGUUGCUCCCUCCAGCUCCCCAUUUCUACCCUCCACCUCCCCAAUAUUUUGCUUUUUUUUUAUUUCAACAAUAUCCUUUUGUCUUGACUUUUUUAACCUUUUCAAGUUUUUUUACUUUCUUUUUUCUUUUAAUGGUAUUUUACUCUCAGAACCUCACAGUCCCACCUCUCCAAAUUUGAGAUCCGCCCCUUCUUCUCCCAACUCUGUGACUCUUUACUUCCACUUCCGUGACUCUUCUUCUCAUCCAAACUCUCCAAACUUUACUUUGCUCUCCGGUGCGGUGUGGUGGUGAGUUGCGGUGGUACGGUGCGGUGUUGUGCCCUGUUCUUGCGUGUGGUGGUGUUUCGUUGGCAUUGGUGGUGCGUGGUGCAGAUCGUUCACCCUAUCGUUACCAUCUCUCUCUGUUUGAUCUUCUACCUUUCAAGUUUUAAAAAUUUAAAGAUGGCAGAGACAUUUAUUUUUACCUCUGAGUUGGUGAACGAGGGACACCCAGACAAGCUCUACGACCAAAUCUCCGAUGCUGUUCUUGACGCCUGCCUUGAGCAAGAUCCAGAGAGCAAGGUUGCUUGUGAGACAUGCACCAAAACCAACUUGGUCAUGGUCUUCGGAGAAAUCACCACCAAGGCCAACGUUGAGUACGAGAAUUUAAAAAUACCUAGUUAACUGAGUUUUCAUCGUCUUCUUCCUAACCCGGUUAACUUGUUACAUUUACAAAUAAACCAACCAUUUUCGGAACUUUUACCCUUAUGCUAUAAUUUCAUUAUAAAUGAAGCAACUAUAUUUUAAAUAAAUAAAUACACGAUUUGAGUUCAUUUUGCAGAAUAUAAAAAUACCCUUUUGAAGCAAUAUUGUUGAAGAUUAAAAAUUAAAUCGUAACUGGGUAAAGUGGAAGAUGAAUGAUUGAAGGUGUUAGGGAUUAAAAAAGUGUCGCUAAGAACGAGGAGCAGAGAAAGAGCUUUCAAACCUCAAUUCCCAAAAAUCUGAAUCGUAGUGUUUGACAUUUUGCUCCCAAAAUUCAGUGUUUUAAAUUCAGAUUUUCCUUCUUUUUUCUGCCAUUAACAAAUUUGUCAAACUAACCACUGAAGAACCUCAGCACAGCGACAUCCGUAAACGGAGGUUGACAUCCUUCGACGGAUGUUCAUAUCCGUUUAAGGGAGGUUUCGACUU